RNAcentral lists this long non-coding RNA (386 nucleotides) under Fukomys damarensis (Damara mole-rat). RNAcentral's name for it is "lncRNA (ENSFDAG00000031485.1)". The record is from RNAcentral. Lineage: Eukaryota; Metazoa; Chordata; Mammalia; Rodentia; Bathyergidae.
CAAAGUCUUUAGCACUGCUCUUAUCUUAUAUCCUAGAUCCCAACAAGUUUAAGACAAAUAGCAGGAGCAUUCACUUUGGAGCAAUGAUUGAGCUUUGGCAAGACUUUUUUCAUUGUGAACUGAGCAGAACCUUUCACACCCAGGAGGUGAAAGUGGAUGUCUAGAAUUAAUACACAUUCUUCCUUCAGAAUUUAAAAGUGAAAUUGCACUACUGUAUUCUGCCUGAAACAAGCAUAACAUUGACUGACUGGAACUCAGAAUUUUUGUCUGUGGUCUCUUAUUUUCAAUCAUUUUGCCUUUGUCUGAACUUAUUAUUUUGGUGUCAAGUCUGAGGUUUUAAGCCAGGGAUUGGGCCCUGUGGUGCUUUGUGGAAAAAGGCAUAAGGC